CCUACGGGGGGCUGCAGUGAGGAAUAUUGGUCAAUGGGCGGAAGCCUGAACCAGCCAAGUCGCGUGAGGGAAUAAGGCCCUACGGGUCGUAAACCUCUUUUGCCGGGGAGCAAGGGCCGGGACGCGUCCCGGCCCGGAGAGUACCCGGAGAAAAAGCAUCGGCUAACUCCGUGCCAGCAGCCGCGGUAAUACGGAGGAUGCGAGCGUUAUCCGGAUUUAUUGGGUUUAAAGGGUGCGCAGGCGGAAGCGCAAGUCAGCGGUAAAAUUGAGAGGCUCAACCUCUUCCCGCCGUUGAAACUGCGUUUCUUGAGUGGGCGAGAAGUACGCGGAAUGCGUGGUGUAGCGGUGAAAUGCAUAGAUAUCACGCAGAACUCCGAUUGCGAAGGCAGCGUACCGGCGCCCAACUGACGCUCAUGCACGAAAGCGUGGGUAUCGAACAGGAUUAGAUACCCCUGUAGUC
Molecule: ribosomal RNA, 460 nt
Filed under: uncultured bacterium
Lineage: Bacteria
Description: partial 16S ribosomal RNA
Rfam family: Bacterial small subunit ribosomal RNA
Source: RNAcentral